This 792-nucleotide ribosomal RNA is filed under the name uncultured Pelagibacteraceae bacterium. Its description in RNAcentral is "bacterial SSU rRNA". It matches the Rfam family "Bacterial small subunit ribosomal RNA", at positions 41 to 881 of the family's 1533-position model. The record is from RNAcentral. Lineage: Bacteria; Pseudomonadati; Pseudomonadota; Alphaproteobacteria; Candidatus Pelagibacterales; Candidatus Pelagibacteraceae.
GGCACGCCUAAUACAUGCAAGUCGAACGAAGUAGCAAUACUUAGUGGCAGACGGGUGAGUAACAUGUAGGUAUCUGCCCUUUGGCCUGGAAUAACACGAGGAAACUUGUGCUAAUACUGGAUAAGUCUUUACGGAGAAAGCUUUAUGCACCAUUGGAUGAGCCUGCACUUGAUUAGUUUGUUGGUGGGGUAAUGGCCUACCAAGACAAUGAUCAAUAGCUGAUUUGAGAGGAUGAUCAGCCACAUUGGGACUGAGACACGGCCCAAACUCCUACGGGAGGCAGCAGUAGGGAAUCUUGCACAAUGGAGGAAACUCUGAUGCAGCGAUGCCGCGUGAGUGAAGAAGGCCCUUGGGUUGUAAAGCUCUUUCGUCGGGGAAGAAAAUGACUGUACCCGAAUAAGAAGGUCCGGCUAACUUCGUGCCAGCAGCCGCGGUAAUACGAAGGGACCUAGCGUAGUUCGGAAUUACUGGGCUUAAAGAGUUCGUAGGUGGUUAAAAAAGUUGGUGGUGAAAUCCCAGAGCUUAACUCUGGAACUGCCAUCAAAACUUUUUAGCUAGAGUAUGAUAGAGGAAAGCAGAAUUUCUAGUGUAGAGGUGAAAUUCGUAGAUAUUAGAAAGAAUACCGAUUGCGAAGGCAGCUUUCUGGAUCAUUACUGACACUGAGGAACGAAAGCAUGGGUAGCGAAGAGGAUUAGAUACCCUCGUAGUCCAUGCCGUAAACGAUGUGUGUUAGACGUUGGAAAUUUAUUUUCAGUGUCGCAGCGAAAGCGAUAAACACACCGCCUGGGGAGU